This 253-nucleotide ribosomal RNA is filed under the name uncultured bacterium. Its description in RNAcentral is "partial 16S ribosomal RNA". It matches the Rfam family "Bacterial small subunit ribosomal RNA", at positions 524 to 776 of the family's 1533-position model. The record is from RNAcentral.
UACGUAGGUGGCAAGCGUUGUCCGGAUUUAUUGGGCGUAAAGAGCGUGUAGGCGGCCAGACAGGUCAGCUGUGAAAACUCGAGGCUCAACCUCGAGACGUCGGUUGAAACCGUCUGGCUAGAGUCCGGAAGAGGAGAGUGGAAUUCCCGGUGUAGCGGUGAAAUGCGCAGAUAUCGGGAAGAACACCCGUGGCUAAGGCGGCUCUCUAGUACGGUACUGACGCUGAGACGCGAAAGCGUGGGGAGCGAACAGG